RNAcentral lists this small RNA (495 nucleotides) under Vigna angularis var. angularis. RNAcentral describes it as "Non-protein coding transcript". Lineage: Eukaryota; Viridiplantae; Streptophyta; Magnoliopsida; Fabales; Fabaceae. The record is from RNAcentral.
UAAGGUUUCAGAAUUGGGAUUUGGAAGGCUUGCUUCUGCCUCCUCUGCCAGUGCCGCGAAGUGUGCUGCUGCCAAUUGCCAUGGAGAUCUCUGUGCGCGUGGUUGCGUUUUGAUUUUUGCAGGUGCUUCACGGUUCUAAUUAUCUCUCACGAUGAUGGUGGAAAACGAAGGGAAUCACGCUCUUGAGUUUCGCCUCGAUCAUGCUUGCGCGACUAGGGUUCGCUGAUUUGGGGCUUUUUUUCUACGUUUUAGGGUUCCUCUGUCGUUUCUGGUUUUUCUGCAUUUCAGGUUGCGAAGAGGCGCUGGUGUGUUUGGGUGGUCUCUACGGCGACAUUGACGAGGUGGUCAGGUGAAGAUGCUUCACAAUGGAGGUUCUGAUUCUUUACGAUUGGGUUCCUGCAAUUUGCAGUUCUGUCUACGGUGGCUGCCAUAGGAGCGUGAUUUGGUUACUAGAGAAGAUGAAGGAUGGCAAUCCAGGAGCAAUGUUUGGUGCUG